GUAUUUCUCUCUUUUCUGUUGACUUCUGCAGUGUUGAAGCAUCACACAGACAUGAGCAGUUCGAGCUACUUGGCAGCCACCCACCAUCCUCCACACAGUCCCUUGGUGCGACAGCUCUCCACCUCCUCAGAUUCCCCUGCACCCGCCAGCUCUAGCUCACAGGUUACAGCCAGCACAUCGCAGCAGCCAGUAAGGAGGAGAAGGGGAGAGAGCUCAUUUGAUAUUAACAACAUUGUCAUCCCAAUGUCUGUUGCUGCAACAACUCGCGUAGAGAAACUGCAAUACAAGGAAAUCCUUACGCCCAGCUGGCGGGAGGUUGAUCUUCAGUCUCUGAAGGGGAGUCCUGAUGAGGAGAAUGAAGAGAUUGAGGACCUAUCCGACGCAGCCUUCGCCGCCCUGCAUGCCAAAUGUGAGGAGAUGGAGAGGGCACGGUGGCUGUGGACCACGAGUGUGCCAC
Molecule: long non-coding RNA, 457 nt
Filed under: Homo sapiens (human)
Lineage: Eukaryota; Metazoa; Chordata; Mammalia; Primates; Hominidae
Description: non-protein coding lnc-ARL17B-2:2
Source: RNAcentral